GUUUAAUCUUAAUUUAGUGUGUUGUAUUAAAUAAAUUAAAAAAAUUUUAAAAUGGAGCUGGAUUCUAAACAAAGGUAAUCAGAAUAUUUGUGGCGCAAAGAGGUGACUACAAACUUUUAAUGACUUUCAUCAGCAAAAUUCAAGUACAGUGCCGUAAG
This is a long non-coding RNA of Bactrocera tryoni, 158 nucleotides long. RefSeq lists it as uncharacterized. The transcript has 3 exons. Lineage: Eukaryota; Metazoa; Arthropoda; Insecta; Diptera; Tephritidae. The record is from RefSeq and is a predicted model, not a curated record.